UGGCGACCGGCGCACGGGUGAGUAACACGUAUCCAACCUGCCGAUAACUCGGGGAUAGCCCUUCGAAAGAAAGAUUAAUAUCCGAUAGCAUAUCAAGAUCGCAUGAUCUUGAUAUUAAAGAAUUUCGGUUAUCGAUGGGGAUGCGUUCCAUUAGUUAGUUGGCGGGGUAACGGCCCACCAAGACGACGAUGGAUAGGGGUUCUGAGAGGAAGGUCCCCCACAUUGGAACUGAGACACGGUCCAAACUCCUACGGAAGGCAGCAG
This 264-nucleotide ribosomal RNA is filed under the name uncultured bacterium. RNAcentral describes it as "partial 16S ribosomal RNA". It matches the Rfam family "Bacterial small subunit ribosomal RNA", at positions 89 to 354 of the family's 1533-position model. The record is from RNAcentral.